CAAUAGCGUAUAUUAACGUUGUUGCAGUUAAAAAGCUCGUAGUUGGAUUUCUGGAGGGAGCGUCGGCCCGUAUUUACGAGUGCGUGACGUCUCUGUCCAUCCUUGCGGGAAGGCACGGCAUUGAUUUGUUGUGUCGGAUCGCAUCAUUUACUGUGAAAAAAUUAGAGUGUUCAAAGCAGGCUUUCGCUUGAAUACAUUAGCAUGGAAUAAUAAGAUAGGACUUUGGUGCUAUUUUGUUGGUUGAGCCUAAAGUAAUGAUUAAUAGGGAUAGUUGGGGGCACCUGUAUUGCGUUGUCAGAGGUGAAAGUCUUGGAUUUACGCAAGACAAACAGCUGCGAAAGCGUCUGCCAAGGAUGUUUUCAUUA
Molecule: ribosomal RNA, 365 nt
Filed under: uncultured eukaryote
Lineage: Eukaryota
Description: partial 18S ribosomal RNA
Rfam family: Eukaryotic small subunit ribosomal RNA
Source: RNAcentral